AAAUUGAAGAGUUUGAUCAUGGCUCAGAUUGAACGCUGGCGGCAGGCCUAACACAUGCAAGUCGAACGGUAACAGGAAGCAGCUUGCUGCUUCGCUGACGAGUGGCGGACGGGUGAGUAAUGUCUGGGAAACUGCCUGAUGGAGGGGGAUAACUACUGGAAACGGUAGCUAAUACCGCAUAAUGUCGCAAGACCAAAGAGGGGGACCUUCGGGCCUCUUGCCAUCGGAUGUGCCCAGAUGGGAUUAGCUUGUUGGUGGGGUAACGGCCCACCAAGGCGACGAUCCCUAGCUGGUCUGAGAGGAUGACCAGCCACACUGGAACUGAGACACGGUCCAGACUCCUACGGGAGGCAGCAGUGGGGAAUAUUGCACAAUGGGCGCAAGCCUGAUGCAGC
This 395-nucleotide ribosomal RNA is filed under the name Escherichia coli. Its description in RNAcentral is "bacterial SSU rRNA". It matches the Rfam family "Bacterial small subunit ribosomal RNA", at positions 1 to 392 of the family's 1533-position model. The record is from RNAcentral. Lineage: Bacteria; Pseudomonadati; Pseudomonadota; Gammaproteobacteria; Enterobacterales; Enterobacteriaceae.